UCAUGGCUCAGAUUGAACGCUGGCGGCAGGCCUAACACAUGCAAGUCGAGCGGAUGAAGGGAGCUUGCUCCUGGAUUCAGCGGCGGACGGGUGAGUAAUGCCUAGGAAUCUGCCUGGUAGUGGGGGAUAACGUCCGGAAACGGGCGCUAAUACCGCAUACGUCCUGAGGGAGAAAGUGGGGGAUCUUCGGACCUCACGCUAUCAGAUGAGCCUAGGUCGGAUUAGCUAGUUGGUGGGGUAAAGGCCUACCAAGGCGACGAUCCGUAACUGGUCUGAGAGGAUGAUCAGUCACACUGGAACUGAGACACGGUCCAGACUCCUACGGGAGGCAGCAGUGGGGAAUAUUGGACAAUGGGCGAAAGCCUGAUCCAGCCAUGCCGCGUGUGUGAAGAAGGUCUUCGGAUUGUAAAGCACUUUAAGUUGGGAGGAAGGGCAGUAAGUUAAUACCUUGCUGUUUUGACGUUACCAACAGAAUAAGCACCGGCUAACUUCGUGCCAGCAGCCGCGGUAAUACGAAGGGUGCAAGCGUUAAUCGGAAUUACUGGGCGUAAAGCGCGCGUAGGUGGUUCAGCAAGUUGGAUGUGAAAUCCCCGGGCUCAACCUGGGAACUGCAU
Molecule: ribosomal RNA, 614 nt
Filed under: Pseudomonas aeruginosa
Lineage: Bacteria; Pseudomonadati; Pseudomonadota; Gammaproteobacteria; Pseudomonadales; Pseudomonadaceae
Description: bacterial SSU rRNA
Rfam family: Bacterial small subunit ribosomal RNA
Source: RNAcentral